UGGAACUGUUGGAUACCCCUCCACAUACAGUGAGAUACGCUUAGAAGAAGUUCCUGAGAUGGGCUACAACCCACUAGCAGUUCCUUCCCGCGGAGAAAUAUGUGUGAGGGGUAAGACUGUAUUCUCUGGGUACUACAAAAAUCCUGAGCUGACAAAGGAAGUGAUUAGAGAUGGCUGGUUCCAUACAGGUGAUAUCGGGGAGAUGAGCCCUGAAGGCAUCCUGAAGAUUAUCGACAGAAAGA
This 242-nucleotide unclassified non-coding RNA is filed under the name Hevea brasiliensis (rubber tree). The record is from RNAcentral. Lineage: Eukaryota; Viridiplantae; Streptophyta; Magnoliopsida; Malpighiales; Euphorbiaceae.